GGUCAAGUUACAAAGAGCGCAGGGUGAAUGCCUUGCCACCAUGAGACGAUGAAGGACGUGACAAGCUGCGAAAAGCUUCGGGGAGGAGCACAUAUCCAUUGAUCCGGAGAUAUCCGAAUGGGGAAACCCGGUUAAGUUAAGAGCUUAAUCAGCAUAACAUGAAUCAAUAGUGUUAUGUGGUGAAACGAGGUGAACUGAAACAUCUAAGUAGCCUCAGGAAGAGAAAUCAAACGAGAUUCCGUAAGUAGUGGCGAGCGAAAGCGGAAGAGGCCAAACCAAGAAACUUCGGUUUUUUGGGGUAAGGACUACGAUAUUGACUGUAGGAGUUAGCCGAAUGAGCAGAAGGAAAGCUGAGUCCAAAGAGCGUAAUAGUCGCGUAGGCGAAAGCAAAUACAGCAUAGUAGGAUCCGGAGUACUGUGAGACACGAGAAAUCUUGCAGGAAAGCGGGGGGACCACCCUCCAAGCCUAAAUACUACAUGGUGAGCGAUAGAGAAGAAGUACUGUGAAGGAAAGGUGAAAAGAACCCCGGGAGGGGAGUGAAAGAGAACCUGAAACCCUGUGUUUACAAGCAGUUAGAGAGCGUUAAAGCUCGAUAGCGUACUUUUUGUAGAACGGUCCAACGAGUUAUGGCAUUUAGCGAGGUUAAGGACUAAAGGUCCGGAGCCGAAGGGAAACCGAGUGUGAUAAGCGCGUAAAGUUAGAUGUUAUAGACCCGAAACCGGGUGACCUACCCAUGAGCAGGUUGAAGGAGAGGUAAAACUCUCUGGAGGACCGAACCCGUAUCUGUUGAAAAAGGUUGGGAUGACUUGUGGGUAGCGGAGAAAUUCCAAUCGAACCCGGAGAUAGCUGGUUCUCCCCGAAAUAACUUUAGGGCUAGCCCAGUGACAGAGUCUUACGGAGGUAGAGCACUGAAUGGUCUAGGGGCCUUACCAGGCUACCAAAACUUAUCAAACUCCGAAUGCCGCAAAGAUAGAAACUGGAGUCAGUCAGUGACAGAUAAGUGCCAUUGACAAGAGGGAAACAACCCAGAUCGUCAGCUAAGGUCCCUAAAUUACAGCUAAGUGGAAAAGGAUGUGAGUUUGCAUAAACAGCUAGGAUGUUGGCUUAGAAGCAGCCACUCAUUAAAAGAGUGCGUAAUAGCUCACUAGUCGAGUGAAUUUGCGCCGAAGAUAAACGGGGCUAAGCUGUAUACCGAAGCUACGGAAUCGAAAGAUUGGUAGGGGAGCGUACUGUAAGCAGGAGAAGCAUGAUCGUGAGGACAUGUGGAUGUAUCAGUAGUGAGAAUGUUGGAAUAAGUAACGAGAGCAAGGUGAGAAUCCUUGCCGUCGAAAAUCUAAGGUUUCCCGGGGAAGGUUCGUCCGCCCGGGGUUAGUCGGGACCUAAGACGAGGCCGAGAGGCGUAGCCGAUGGAUAACAGGUCAAAAUUCCUGUACCACCGUUUCAUGUAUAAGAGAAGCAGGGACACAGGAGGAUAGUAACGCUCACUGCAAAAAGAGUGAGUUUAAGCAGAAUAACCGGUAUGUAGUAAAGUACGCAUACGGAAGGUAAGCUGUGAUGAGGAGGGAAAUCAAGUACCGAAGGUUAUGAUUCCACACUGGCGAGAAAAGCUGCUAUUUAGUGGAAAGGUGCCCGUACCGUAAACCGACACAGGUAGAUGAGGAGAGAAUCCUAAGACGAGCGGGAGAAGCGUUGUUAAGGAACUCGGCAAAUUAACCCCGUAAGUUAGCGAGAAGGGGAGCCUAAGAAAUUAGGCCGCAGAGAAAUGGCUCGAGCAACUGUUUAGCAAAAACACAGGUCUCCGCUAAAUCGUAAGAUGAAGUAUGGGGGCUGACGCCUGCCCGGUGCUGGAAGGUCAAGGGGAAAUGUUAGAGCAAUCGAAGCAUAGAACUUAAGCCCCAGUAAACGGCGGCCGUAACUAUAACGGUCCUAAGGUAGCGAAAUUCCUUGUCAGGUAAGUUCUGACCCGCACGAAUGGCGUAAUGACUUGAGCACUGUCUCAACAACGUACCCGGUGAAAUUGUAGUACUUGUGAAGAUGCAAGUUACCCGCAACUAGACGGAAAGACCCCAUGGAGCUUCACUGUAGAUUGUUACUGGGAUUCGAUAUUAUCUGUACAGGAUAGGUGGGAAGCUGAGAACUUAGCUCGUCAGAACUAAGGGAGCUGUCGGUGGGAUACCACUCUGAUGAUAUUGAGUUUCUAACCAGUUACCAUGAUCUGGUAAUGGGACAAUGGCAGUCGGACAGUUUGACUGGGGCGGUCGCCUCCAAAAAGGUAACGGAGGCGUUCAAAGGUUUCCUCAGCACGGUUGGAAAUCGUGCAACGAGUGCAAAGGCAUAAGGGAGCCUGACUGCGAGACAUACAAGUCGAGCAGAUACGAAAGUAGGACUUAGUGAUCCGGCGGUAGAAAGUGGAAUUGCCGUCGCUCAACGGAUAAAAGUUACCCUGGGGAUAACAGGCUGAUUCCUCCCAAGAGUUCACAUCGACGGGGGAGUUUGGCACCUCGAUGUCGGCUCAUCACAUCCUGGAGGGGAAGUCCCUUCCAAGGGUUCGGCUGUUCGCCGAUUAAAGUGGUACGCGAGCUGGGUUCAGAACGUCGUGAGACAGUUCGGUCCCUAUCUGUUGUGGGCGUUGGAAAUUUGAGAAGAGCUGUCCCUAGUACGAGAGGACCGGGAUGGACAAACCUCUGGUGCACCAGUUGUCAUGUUUAUGGCACAGCUGGGUAGCUAUGUUUGGACGGGAUAAACGCUGAAAGCAUCUAAGCGUGAAGCCUCCUUCAAGAUGAGAUUUCCUAAACCUUUAAGGUUAUAAGAUCCCUGAAAGAUAAACAGGUUGAUAGGUCUGGAGUGGAAGACAGUAAUGUACGUAGCGGACAGAUACUAAUGAUCGAAAACUUGACCAC
RNAcentral lists this ribosomal RNA (2901 nucleotides) under Amygdalobacter indicium. RNAcentral's name for it is "Oscillospiraceae bacterium UPII 610-J 23S ribosomal RNA". It matches the Rfam family "Bacterial large subunit ribosomal RNA". Lineage: Bacteria; Bacillati; Bacillota; Clostridia; Eubacteriales; Oscillospiraceae. The record is from RNAcentral.